Molecule: long non-coding RNA, 800 nt
Organism: Chinchilla lanigera (long-tailed chinchilla)
Lineage: Eukaryota; Metazoa; Chordata; Mammalia; Rodentia; Chinchillidae
Exons: 2
Source: RefSeq, a predicted model, not a curated record
GCUGCAUAAAUGAGUUCAAGGCCAACCUAUUCUAUACAGUGAGACUGCCUUCAAAAAAAAAAAAAAAAGACUGGGAUCUAUUGAAGUUUCUUUUCAGCUCUUAAGAACACUUUGCAUUUAAAAUUUAGAUCUUCUUACAUGGAAGAGGUCAAAUCCAGUUAUAGCAAAACACCUUUACAGCAGAGGCCAUAUAACCAAAAAGUCCAAAGGCCCAGCCCAGUGGACCAUUUACUUCAAUGAUGUUCAGUACAAAAUUCCACUGCCACUAAAGACUUGGGAAAGUCCCAUUUAAGUUGUAACAGGAUUUGACUAUUAGUAUGGAUUUUGAUACACUCUUUAAUGUUUUUUGAAGUUGAGAUUUAUUAUAGAAUAUGCUUGUUUCUAGUACCUUCAAAUUUUUCUCUUGGCUGUAUAUGCAGAAGAUUGUAUUCUCUGAAUGUCAUCCUAUGUUGUCUUUUUACCUGUCUGGGUUGCCUUCAGAUGUGGGUGGAGACUGUUAACAAAAGUCCUAGGAAUACUUAAAGUAAACUCUGUCUGGUCUUUGAAGUCUUUUCUUUUGGCAGAGUAAGUUGGGACCUGUGAGAGGUAAAAGUAUGUUGGCUGCCUCUCUGAUACAGGCCAUCUUUAAAUAGGGCAAAAACUUUUGUCCUUUUUUUGUGGUAGAUGGGAUACUUUUUACCUUAUUCCCUAACUGAGUUGAUCAUGUUUAGGACUUUCGGUUUUAGCCAUCUCAUAAGAAUUGUUUAGUCUAAGAGCUAGCGUCAGGUUUUUGAGACAAUAAAGACAAUGUUAUCUGCUGC